Molecule: ribosomal RNA, 498 nt
Filed under: Triticum aestivum (bread wheat)
Lineage: Eukaryota; Viridiplantae; Streptophyta; Magnoliopsida; Poales; Poaceae
Description: partial small subunit ribosomal RNA
Source: RNAcentral
AUGAUCCUACUCUUUAUUAUGAAGGGGUAUGGAGAGAUCUCCUCCGUUGAUGUGUUUAAGGGGCUUGUACCGAAGCGAAAGUGGUCAUUGAAAUUUCACCUAGCCACAAUCAACAAAAAAGUGGACGGGCUGGAUACCCUAUCAGCUCCUUUCACUAACGCUGAAAUAGACGAGGUGGUCAAAUCUAUGCCGUCGGAUCGUGCCCCCAGACAUGAUGGCUUUAAUGGAGGAUUCAUCAAAACUUGUUGGCACAUUAUAAAGAAGGACUUUUACAAGCUUUGUGAUGACUUCUACCAUGGUAAUCUUGACCUCACAAGCAUCAACUCCGGGUUCAUUACCCUGAUCCCAAAAGCCAGCUCGCCAGAAACGGCCAAUGACUUCCGUCCGAUCACGCUCCUGAAUUGUUGCUUGAAAAUCAUCACCAAAGUUCUCGCGAACAGGAUCCAAAAGAUGAUACUGACCAUAAUCCAUAAGAACCAAUACGGGUUCAUACGUACC